RNAcentral lists this transfer RNA (72 nucleotides) under Bacillus sp. HUB-I-004. RNAcentral describes it as "tRNA-Glu". It matches the Rfam family "tRNA". Rfam says of the family: Transfer RNA (tRNA) molecules are approximately 80 nucleotides in length. The record is from RNAcentral. Lineage: Bacteria; Bacillati; Bacillota; Bacilli; Caryophanales; Bacillaceae.
GGCCCGUUGGUCAAGUGGUUAAGACACCGCCCUUUCACGGCGGUAACCCGGGUUCGAAUCCCGUACGGGUCA